RNAcentral lists this ribosomal RNA (159 nucleotides) under Acacia blakelyi. RNAcentral describes it as "5.8S ribosomal RNA". It matches the Rfam family "5.8S ribosomal RNA". From Rfam's summary of the family: 5.8S ribosomal RNA (5.8S rRNA) is a component of the large subunit of the eukaryotic ribosome. The record is from RNAcentral. Lineage: Eukaryota; Viridiplantae; Streptophyta; Magnoliopsida; Fabales; Fabaceae.
GACUCUCGGCAACAGAUAUCUCGGCUCUCGCAUCGAUGAAGAACGUAGCGAAAUGUGAUACUUGGCGUGAAUUGUAGAAUCCCGUGAACCAUCGAGUCUUUGAACGCAAGUUGCGCUCGAAGCCGUUAGGCUGAGGGCACGUCUGCCUGGGUGUCACGC